RNAcentral lists this ribosomal RNA (401 nucleotides) under uncultured Brevundimonas sp. RNAcentral describes it as "bacterial SSU rRNA". It matches the Rfam family "Bacterial small subunit ribosomal RNA", at positions 356 to 774 of the family's 1533-position model. Lineage: Bacteria; Pseudomonadati; Pseudomonadota; Alphaproteobacteria; Caulobacterales; Caulobacteraceae. The record is from RNAcentral.
GGGGAAUCUUGCGCAAUGGGCGAAAGCCUGACGCAGCCAUGCCGCGUGAAUGAUGAAGGUCUUAGGAUUGUAAAAUUCUUUCACCGGGGACGAUAAUGACGGUACCCGGAGAAGAAGCCCCGGCUAACUUCGUGCCAGCAGCCGCGGUAAUACGAAGGGGGCUAGCGUUGCUCGGAAUUACUGGGCGUAAAGGGCGCGUAGGCGGAUCGUUAAGUCAGGGGUGAAAUCCCGGGGCUCAACCUCGGAAUUGCCCUUGAUACUGGCGAUCUUGAGUAUGAGAGAGGUAUGUGGAACUCCGAGUGUAGAGGUGAAAUUCGUAGAUAUUCGGAAGAACACCAGUGGCGAAGGCGACAUACUGGCUCAUUACUGACGCUGAGGCGCGAAAGCGUGGGGAGCAAACA